GCGCUUUAAGCGCAAAAAGUCCUCGCUUCACUUAGCAUAUUUCUAUUUGUUACUGUGCUUUAGCGAGCACUUUUUGCAGUGUUGUUAAAGGUGCUAAGAGGUGCUGAGUGAGGUGAGGCACCAAAGUGGGGACUUGCCUGAUUGAGGCUUACUUGGAUUUGAAAAGGCGAGGGCACCACCUCAUGCAUAUAAUUUUUUUUUUAAAUAGCAAAUAUUAGAAAGAAUCCAACCCUAGCCUCUAAUUUUGAUGCCACCAACUGCUGGAAAACAAGGUCAGACCACA
This 283-nucleotide unclassified non-coding RNA is filed under the name Hevea brasiliensis (rubber tree). The record is from RNAcentral. Lineage: Eukaryota; Viridiplantae; Streptophyta; Magnoliopsida; Malpighiales; Euphorbiaceae.